UACGAGGGGUGCAAGCGCUGCUCGGAAUUAUUGGGCGUAAAGGGUAGGUAGGUGGUCUUAUUUGUCUGAUGUGAAAUCCUUGGGCUUAACUCAAGAAGCGCGUCAGAAACGGUAAGACUAGAGUCCUGGAGAGGGUCGUGGAAUUCCCGGUGUAGCGGUGAAAUGCGUAGAGAUCGGGAGGAACACCAGAGGCGAAGGCGGCGACCUGGACAGGCACUGACACUCAACUACGAAAGCGUGGGGAGCAAACAGG
This 253-nucleotide ribosomal RNA is filed under the name uncultured bacterium. RNAcentral's name for it is "partial 16S ribosomal RNA". It matches the Rfam family "Bacterial small subunit ribosomal RNA", at positions 524 to 776 of the family's 1533-position model. The record is from RNAcentral.